AUAAUAAGUUAGAGUUAUAAACCGAGAAGGAGGUUUAUAACUGAUAUAUUGCCCCCGAGGACGCGCAGCGUCCUAGGGCAAUAUAUCAGUUAUAAACCGACUUUCGAGGUUUAUAACUAACUUAUAU
This 127-nucleotide microRNA precursor is filed under the name Paramuricea clavata. The record is from RNAcentral. Lineage: Eukaryota; Metazoa; Cnidaria; Anthozoa; Malacalcyonacea; Plexauridae.